Molecule: ribosomal RNA, 468 nt
Filed under: uncultured bacterium
Lineage: Bacteria
Description: partial 16S ribosomal RNA
Rfam family: Bacterial small subunit ribosomal RNA
Source: RNAcentral
GACGAACGCUUGCGGCGUGCUUAACACAUGCAAGUCGAACGGAAAGGCCCUGCUUUUGUGGGGUGCUCGAGUGGCGAACGGGUGAGUAACACGUGAGUAACCUGCCCUUGACUUUGGGAUAACUUCAGGAAACUGGGGCUAAUACCGGAUAGGAGCUCCUGCUGCAUGGUGGGGGUUGGAAAGUUUCGGCGGUUGUGGAUGGACUCGCGGCUUAUCAGCUUGUUGGUGGGGUAGUGGCUUACCAAGGCUUUGACGGGUAGCCGGCCUGAGAGGGUGACCGGCAACAUUGGGACUGAGAUACGGCCCAGACUCCUACGGGCGGCAGCAGUGGGGAAUCUUGCACAAUGGGCGGAAGCCUGAUGAAGCAACGCCGCGUGCGGGAUGACGGCCUUCGGGUUGUAAACCGCUUUCGCAUGUGACGAAGCGUGAGUGACGGUAAUGGGUAAAGAAGCACCGGCUAACUACGUG